CUACGGGACGCUGCAGCUGAGGAACUUUUACAAUGCACGCAAGUGUGAUAGAGUAAGCCAGAGUGUUUCUCUUAGAGAAACUUUUAUCUGCUUUAAAACGGCAGAUGAAUAAGGACUGGGCAAGACCGGUGCCAGCCGCCGCGGUAAUACCGGCGGUCCAAGUCGCAUCCACAUUUAUUGGGUCUAAAACAUUCGUAGCUUGUUCUGUAAGUCUCUUGUGAAAUCUCAUGUCUCAAGCAUGAGGCGUGCAAGAGAUACUGCAUUACUAGAGACCGGAAGACGCAACGAGUACGACUAAGGUAGCGGUAAAAUGUGUUAAUUUUGGUUGGACUAACAAUGGCGAAGGCACGUUGCGAGUACGGAUCUGACAGUGAGGGAUGAAGGCUAGGGGCGCAAAACGGAUUAGAUACCCGCGUAGUC
RNAcentral lists this ribosomal RNA (420 nucleotides) under uncultured archaeon. RNAcentral describes it as "partial 16S ribosomal RNA". It matches the Rfam family "Archaeal small subunit ribosomal RNA", at positions 323 to 746 of the family's 1478-position model. The record is from RNAcentral.